RNAcentral lists this signal recognition particle RNA (272 nucleotides) under Saimiri boliviensis boliviensis (Bolivian squirrel monkey). RNAcentral describes it as "Metazoan signal recognition particle RNA (ENSSBOG00000003766.1)". It matches the Rfam family "Metazoan signal recognition particle RNA". Rfam says of the family: The signal recognition particle (SRP) is a universally conserved ribonucleoprotein. The record is from RNAcentral. Lineage: Eukaryota; Metazoa; Chordata; Mammalia; Primates; Cebidae.
GCCAGGCACAGUGGCGCAUGCCUGUAGUCCCAGCUACUCAGGAGGCUAAGGCUGGAGGAUGACUUGAGCCCAGGGGUUCUGGGCUGUAGUGCGCUAUGCCAAUUGGGUGUCCACACUAAGUUUGGCAUCAAUAUGGUGACCUCUGGGGAGGAGGGGACCUGCCCAGGUUGGAAACGGAGCAGGUCAGUACUCCUGUGCUGCGCAGUAAUGGGAUUGCACCAGUGAAUAGUCACUGCACUCCAGCCUGGGCAACAUAGCAAGACCCCAUCUCU